CCUACGGGAGGCAGCAGUAGGGAACCUUCCACAAUGGGCGAAAGCCUGAUGGAGCAACGCCGCGUGAGUGAUGAAGGCCUUCGGGUUGUAAAACUCUGUCAUUCGGGACGAACCGGAGUCUGAGGAAAUGCAGACUCUCUGACGGUACCGGAGGAGGAAGCCCCGGCUAACUACGUGCCAGCAGCCGCGGUAAUACGUAGGGGGCAAGCGUUGUCCGGAUUCACUGGGCGUAAAGCGCGCGCAGGCGGUGAUGUAAGUCUGAGGUGAAAACCCGAAGCUCAACUUCGGGACUGCCUUGGAUACUGCGUCACUUGAGGAUAGGAGAGGCAAGGGGAAUUCCACGUGUAGCGGUGAAAUGCGUAGAGAUGUGGAGGAACACCUGUGGCGAAGGCGCCUUGCUGGCCUAUUUCUGACGCUGAGGCGCGAAAGCGUGGGGAGCAAACAGGAUUAGAUACCCUGGUAGUCCACGCUGUAAACGAUGAGUGCUAGGUGUAGGUGGGCUCAUACCCAUCUGUGCCGAAGCUAACGCAUUAAGCACUCCGCCUGGGGAUACGGUCGCGAAGACUGAAACUCAAAUGAAUUGACGGCUUGAGACGNGCGAGCGCACGAGGGAGAG
This 616-nucleotide ribosomal RNA is filed under the name uncultured bacterium. RNAcentral's name for it is "bacterial SSU rRNA". It matches the Rfam family "Bacterial small subunit ribosomal RNA", at positions 338 to 943 of the family's 1533-position model. The record is from RNAcentral.